CAACUUUCAAGUUCCAGUCAUGUUCUGGUCCUUUGGUUCUGGAUCUUUGGUUCUGUGGUCAUUUUAGGUCAAGACUUCUUCUUUUGCUCCUGCUCUAGCUAUGUAACUUUUGCAUUUUCUGGAACACCAUUCUUAAUCACUCUGUUAAUAAGAGAUGGGGUCAGUUGAACCGGUCCAGGAGGGCCUGCAGUUACACUGUUAACAUUGAUUAUUCCUUGAAUAGUCAAGUUAGGGGAAGUGAUUUCUGCAGUAGGUGACUUGACACUGGUGCACAUAAAAGCUCAUGACAGGGACACAUCUUGCUGGUAUUUACUGUUUGUUAGAUUCCCUGCCAGCUGAUGUUAAAGCGUACAAGACAUUGGACCAGCCCUUCAGGAGAAAAUUCGACUCACGCAAAGGAGGAAAAAUGGCAAUGCAAGAAAAGUUUGAAGAGGCUUCACAGAGGUGAUAACCACUGAACUGAGUCUUGACAGAAGAUAGGCUGCACUCAGGCGAGGGCGCGGGGGGUUGUGGAUGAGAGAGGACUUUCCAGGGAUGGUUAUGUAGAGAGCUAAUAAGGGGUGAUAAUAAACUGG
RNAcentral lists this long non-coding RNA (575 nucleotides) under Equus caballus (horse). Its description in RNAcentral is "lncRNA (ENSECAG00000052946.1)". The record is from RNAcentral. Lineage: Eukaryota; Metazoa; Chordata; Mammalia; Perissodactyla; Equidae.